CCGGCGCACGGGUGAGUAACACGUACGCAACCUGCCUGCCACAGCCGGAUAAUCGGGAGAAAUUCCGUCUAAUACGGCAUAAUGCAUCGACGGGACAUCCUGUUGGUGCCAAAGGUUAAUUCCGGUGGCGGAUGGGCAUGCGUCGCAUUAGUUAGUUGGCGGUGUAACGGACCACCAAGACGACGAUGCGUAGGGGUUCUGAGAGGAAGGUCCCCCACACUGGUACUGAGACACGGACCAGACUCCUACGGAAGGCAGCAG
Molecule: ribosomal RNA, 261 nt
Filed under: uncultured bacterium
Lineage: Bacteria
Description: partial 16S ribosomal RNA
Rfam family: Bacterial small subunit ribosomal RNA
Source: RNAcentral